UACGUAGGGUGCAAGCGUUAAUCGGAAUUACUGGGCGUAAAGCGUGCGCAGGCGGUGAGCUGUGUCCGAUGUGAAAGCCCCGGGCUUAACCUGGGAAUGGCAUUGGAAACUGGCUCGCUGGAGUGUGGCAGAGGGGGGUGGAAUUCCGCGUGUAGCAGUGAAAUGCGUAGAGAUGCGGAGGAACACCGAUGGCGAAGGCAGCCCCCUGGGCUAACACUGACGCUCAGGCACGAAAGCGUGGGGAGCAAACAGG
RNAcentral lists this ribosomal RNA (253 nucleotides) under uncultured bacterium. RNAcentral describes it as "partial 16S ribosomal RNA". It matches the Rfam family "Bacterial small subunit ribosomal RNA", at positions 524 to 776 of the family's 1533-position model. The record is from RNAcentral.